Molecule: ribosomal RNA, 1372 nt
Filed under: uncultured bacterium
Lineage: Bacteria
Description: bacterial SSU rRNA
Rfam family: Bacterial small subunit ribosomal RNA
Source: RNAcentral
GAUGAACGCUGGCGGCGUGCCUAAUACAUGCAAGUCGAGCGAACGGACGAGAAGCUUGCUUCUCUGAUGUUAGCGGCGGACGGGUGGGUAACACGCGGAUAACCUACCUAUAAGACUGGGAUAACUUCGGGAAACCGGAGCUAAUACCGGAUAAUAUUUUGAACCGCAUGGUUCAAAAGUGAAAGACGGUCUUGCUGUCACUUAUAGAUGGAUCCGCGCUGCAUUAGUUAGUUGGUAAGGUAACGGCUUACCAAGGCAACGAUGCAUAGCCGACCUGAGAGGGUGAUCGGCCACACUGGAACUGAGACACGGUCCAGACUCCUACGGGAGGCAGCAGUAGGGAAUCUUCCGCAAUGGGCGAAAGCCUGACGGAGCAACGCCGCGUGAGUGAUGAAGGUCUUCGGAUCGUAAAACUCUGUUAUUAGGGAAGAACAUAUGUGUAAGUAACUGUGCACAUCUUGACGGUACCUAAUCAGAAAGCCACGGCUAACUACGUGCCAGCAGCCGCGGUAAUACGUAGGUGGCAAGCGUUAUCCGGAAUUAUUGGGCGUAAAGCGCGCGUAGGCGGUUUUUUAAGUCUGAUGUGAAAGCCCACGGCUCAACCGUGGAGGGUCAUUGGAAACUGGAAAACUUGAGUGCAGAAGAGGAAAGUGGAAUUCCAUGUGUAGCGGUGAAAUGCGCAGAGAUAUGGAGGAACACCAGUGGCGAAGGCGACUUUCUGGUCUGUAACUGACGCUGAUGUGCGAAAGCGUGGGGAUCAAACAGGAUUAGAUACCCUGGUAGUCCACGCCGUAAACGAUGAGUGCUAAGUGUUAGGGGGUUUCCGCCCCUUAGUGCUGCAGCUAACGCAUUAAGCACUCCGCCUGGGGAGUACGACCGCAAGGUUGAAACUCAAAGGAAUUGACGGGGACCCGCACAAGCGGUGGAGCAUGUGGUUUAAUUCGAAGCAACGCGAAGAACCUUACCAAAUCUUGACAUCCUUUGACAACUCUAGAGAUAGAGCCUUCCCCUUCGGGGGACAAAGUGACAGGUGGCGCAUGGUUGUCGUCAGCUCGUGUCGUGAGAUGUUGGGUUAAGUCCCGCAACGAGCGCAGCCCUUAAGCUUAGUUGCCAUCAUUAAGUUGGGCACUCUAAGUUGACUGCCGGUGACAAACCGGAGGAAGGUGGGGAUGACGUCAAAUCAUCAUGCCCCUUAUGAUUUGGGCUACGCACGUGCUACAAUGGACAAUACAAAGGGCAGCGAAACCGCGAGGUCAAGCAAAUCCCAUAAAGUUGUUCUCAGUUCGGAUUGUAGUCUGCAACUCGACUACAUGAAGCUGGAAUCGCUAGUAAUCGUAGAUCAGCAUGCUACGGUGAAUACGUUCCCGGGUCU